Molecule: ribosomal RNA, 780 nt
Filed under: uncultured Chlamydiae bacterium
Lineage: Bacteria; Pseudomonadati; Chlamydiota; Chlamydiia
Description: bacterial SSU rRNA
Rfam family: Bacterial small subunit ribosomal RNA
Source: RNAcentral
CGUAAAGAGCGCGUAGGCGGUCUGUUAAGUGUGAAGUGAAAUCUCCAGGGCUCAACCCGGAAACUGCUUCGCAUACUGGCAGACUAGAGGGAUGCAGAGGUAAGUGGAAUUCCUGGUGUAGCGGUGACAUGCAUUGAUAUCAGGAGGAACACCCAUGGCGAAGGCAGCUUACUGGGCAUCAUCUGACGCUGAGGCGCGAAAGCGUGGGGAGCAAACAGGAUUAGAUACCCUGGUAGUCCACGCCCUAAACGAUGGAUACUAGGCGUAAGAGGUAUCGACCCCUCUUGUGCCGCAGCUAACGCAUUAAGUAUACCGCCUGGGGAGUACAGUCGCAAGGCUGAAACUCAAAAGAAUUGACGGGGACCCGCACAAGCAGUGGAGCAUGUGGUUUAAUUCGAUGCUACUCGAAAAACCUUACCCAGGCUUGACAUGCAGUAGACCGGUCCAGAAAUGGGCCUUUCCUUCGGGACUGCUGCACAGGUGCUGCAUGGCUGUCGUCAGCUUGUGCCGUGAGGUGUUGGGUUAAGUCCCGCAACGAGCGCAACCCUUAUCGUUAGUUGCCAACAUUUUAGGUGGGAACUCUAACGAGACUGCCCGGGUUAACCGGGAGGAAGGUGAGGAUGACGUCAAGUCCGCAUGGCCCUUAUGUCUGGGGCUACACACGUGCUACAAUGGUCGGUACAAAAGGCAGCGAAACCGCAAGGUGAAGCAAAUCCCGAAAACCGGCCUCAGUUCAGAUUGUAGUCUGCAACUCGACUACAUGAAGAUGGAAUUGCUAGU